AUCUACGGCCAUAGCACCCUGAACGCCAUCCAGUCUCAUCGGAUCUCAGAUGCUAAGCAGGGUCAGGCCUGGUUAGUACUUGGAUGGGAAAAUGCAGAUAUAAGGCCAGUUC
This 112-nucleotide ribosomal RNA is filed under the name Chlorocebus sabaeus (green monkey). The record is from RNAcentral. Lineage: Eukaryota; Metazoa; Chordata; Mammalia; Primates; Cercopithecidae.